This 466-nucleotide ribosomal RNA is filed under the name uncultured bacterium. RNAcentral describes it as "partial 16S ribosomal RNA". The stretch from base 20 to 329 matches the Rfam family "Bacterial small subunit ribosomal RNA", at positions 47 to 358 of the family's 1533-position model. The record is from RNAcentral.
GACGAACGCUGGCGGCGUGCUUAACACAUGCAAGUCGAACGGAAAGGCCCUGCUUGCCGGGUACUCGAGUGGCGAACGGGUGAGUAACACGUGGGUGAUCUGCCCUGCACUUCGGGAUAAGCCUGGGAAACUGGGUCUAAUACCGGAUAGGAGCCAUUUUUAGUGUGAUGGUUGGAAAGUUUUUUCGGUGUAGGAUGAGCUCGCGGCCUAUCAGCUUGUUGGUGGGGUAAUGGCCUACCAAGGCGGCGACGGGUAGCCGGCCUGAGAGGGUGGACGGCCAAAGGGGGGAGGGAGAGAAGGCCAAGACCCCAGGGGGGGGAAGGAGGGGGAAAGAGGGAAAAAGGGGGGAAGGCUGGAGGCGGCGGGCCGGGGGGGGGGAUGACGGCCUGGGGGUAGAAAACUCUUUAGGAGAGGGAAGAAGUUUUUGGGGAGGGGACAAAAAAAAGAAACCCGGAAAAACUAGGGG